Molecule: ribosomal RNA, 727 nt
Filed under: uncultured bacterium
Lineage: Bacteria
Description: bacterial SSU rRNA
Rfam family: Bacterial small subunit ribosomal RNA
Source: RNAcentral
GAGUUUGAUCAUGGCUCAGGACGAACGCUGGCGGCGUGCCUAAUACAUGCAAGUCGGGCGGAACCAUUGGAGCUUGCUCCUUUGGUUUAGCGGCGGACGGGUGAGUAACACGUGGGCAACCUGCCCUGCAGAUCGGGAUAACUCCGGGAAACCGGUGCUAAUACCGAAUAGUUUGCGGCCUCUCCUGAGGCUGCACGGAAAGACGGCAUCUCGCUGUCACUGCAGGAUGGGCCCGCGGCGCAUUAGCUAGUUGGUGGGGUAAUGGCCUACCAAGGCAACGAUGCGUAGCCGACCUGAGAGGGUGAUCGGCCACACUGGGACUGAGACACGGCCCAGACUCCUACGGGAGGCAGCAGUAGGGAAUCUUCCGCAAUGGACGAAAGUCUGACGGAGCAACGCCGCGUGAGUGACGAAGGUUUUCGGAUCGUAAAACUCUGUUGUGAGGGAAGAACAAGUACCAACUAACUAUUGGUACCUUGACGGUACCUCACCAGAAAGCCACGGUAACUACGUGCCAGCAGCCGCGGUAAUACGUAGGUGGCAAGCGUUGUCCGGAAUUAUUGGGCGUAAAGCGCGCGCAGGCGGUUUUUUAAGUCUGAUGUGAAAGCCCACGGGCUCAACCGUGGAGGGUCAUUGGAAAACUGGAGAACUUGAGUCCCGAAAGAGGAAAGUGGAUUCCAUGUUGUGAGGCGGGUGGAAAUUGCGGUUAGAGAUUGUGGGGGGAACC